This 321-nucleotide ribosomal RNA is filed under the name cf. Hickmanolobus sp. CASENT9035010. RNAcentral's name for it is "eukaryotic LSU rRNA". It matches the Rfam family "Eukaryotic large subunit ribosomal RNA", at positions 635 to 921 of the family's 3401-position model. Lineage: Eukaryota; Metazoa; Arthropoda; Arachnida; Araneae; Orsolobidae. The record is from RNAcentral.
GUCACCCACCCGACCCGUCUUGAAACACGGACCAAGGAGUCUAACAUGUGCGCGAGUCACGGGGUCUUGGUUAGGCCCGGAGGCGCAAUGAAAGUGAAGGCCGGCCCCCGAGGCCGGCCGCGUUGGGAUUUCCCGCCCCCCGGGGCGGGGAGGCACCAACGGCCCGUCCUGUCCGAUUCAUCGGUUGGGCGGAGUCCGAGCGCACGCGUUGGGACCCGAAAGAUGGUGAACUAUGCCUGGGCAGGACGAAGCCAGAGGAAACUCUGGUGGAGGUCCGUAGCGGUUCUGACGUGCAAAUCGAUCGUCAGACCCGGGUAUAGG